Molecule: non-coding RNA, 26 nt
Filed under: Homo sapiens (human)
Lineage: Eukaryota; Metazoa; Chordata; Mammalia; Primates; Hominidae
Source: RNAcentral
ACAUCCAGUGGCCCAGAGGGUGUCUA